RNAcentral lists this ribosomal RNA (274 nucleotides) under uncultured bacterium. RNAcentral describes it as "partial 16S ribosomal RNA". It matches the Rfam family "Bacterial small subunit ribosomal RNA", at positions 523 to 796 of the family's 1533-position model. The record is from RNAcentral.
AUACGGAGGGUGCAAGCGUUAUCCGGAAUCACUGGGUUUAAAGGGUGCGUAGGCGGCCUGGUAAGUCAGAGGUGAAAUACACGAGCUUAACUGGUGAAUUGCCUUUGAAACUAUCAAGCUAGAAUUAUGUUGAGGUCAGCGGAAUGAGCCAUGUAGCGGUGAAAUGCAUAGAUAUGACUUAGAACACCAAUUGCGUAGGCAGCUGGCUGGGCAUUGAUUGACGCUGAGGCACGAAAGCGUGGGGAGCGAACAGGAUUAGAAACCCCAGUAGUCC